AACACUAAAGGGGUAGCUAUGGAGAUGGAGCGUUUUCCUGGCUGCUUUCUUUGACAGGUGUUGAGUGGGGCAAAAGUCUUAAAACAGAAUCCAGCAUGUACGCCAAAGGUAAAGGAGCUGUCGUCCCUUCCGAUAACCAAGCGAGAGAAAAGUUAGCUUUAUAUGUGUAUGAGUAUUUGCUUCAUGUCGGCGCACAGAAAUCCGCACAGACCUUCCUGUCAGAGAUCCGAUGGGAGAAGAACAUCACACUUGGGGAACCGCCUGGAUUUUUACACUCAUGGUGGUGGCAAGUUCACGCGGCUGACAGGAAGUUGUU
This is a long non-coding RNA of Notothenia coriiceps (black rockcod), 316 nucleotides long. RefSeq lists it as uncharacterized. The transcript is spliced from 4 exons. Lineage: Eukaryota; Metazoa; Chordata; Actinopteri; Perciformes; Nototheniidae. The record is from RefSeq and is a predicted model, not a curated record.